RNAcentral lists this small nuclear RNA (180 nucleotides) under Chrysemys picta bellii (western painted turtle). RNAcentral's name for it is "U2 spliceosomal RNA (ENSCPBG00000001953.1)". It matches the Rfam family "U2 spliceosomal RNA". From Rfam's summary of the family: U2 is a small nuclear RNA (snRNA) component of the spliceosome (involved in pre-mRNA splicing). Complementary binding between U2 snRNA (in an area lying towards the 5' end but 3' to hairpin I) and the branchpoint sequence (BPS) of the intron results the bulging out of an unpaired adenosine, on the BPS, which initiates a nucleophilic attack at the intronic 5' splice site, thus starting the first of two transesterification reactions that mediate splicing. Lineage: Eukaryota; Metazoa; Chordata; Testudines; Emydidae. The record is from RNAcentral.
GUAUAAUGUAAUUUUAACAUUAGCUUUAAUAAAUGCUCUGAUCAGUUUAUUAUCUGACACGUUCUCUAAGAACUCCGCAUUAAAUGGAUUUUUGGAGCAGGGAGAUGGAAUAGGAGCUUGCUCCGUCUACUCCACGCAUCACCCCGGUAUUGCAGUGCUUCUAGGAACGGUGCACCUCCC